This 291-nucleotide ribosomal RNA is filed under the name uncultured bacterium. Its description in RNAcentral is "partial 16S ribosomal RNA". It matches the Rfam family "Bacterial small subunit ribosomal RNA", at positions 505 to 796 of the family's 1533-position model. The record is from RNAcentral.
GUGACAGCCGCCGCGGUAAUACGUAGGGGGCGAGCGUUAUCCGGAAUCAUUGGGCGUAAAGAGUGCGUAGGCGGCUUUGUAAGCGUGGGGUGAAAGGCAGCGGCUCAACCGUUGUAAGCCCCGCGAACUGCAUGGCUUGAGUGCAGGAGAGGAAAGCGGAAUUCCUAGUGUAGCGGUGAAAUGCGUAGAUAUUAGGAGGAACACCAGUGGCGAAGGCGGCUUUCUGGACUGUAACUGACGCUGAGGCACGAAAGCGUGGGGAGCGAACAGGAUUAGAUACCCCUGUAGUCC